Molecule: ribosomal RNA, 492 nt
Filed under: uncultured bacterium
Lineage: Bacteria
Description: partial 16S ribosomal RNA
Rfam family: Bacterial small subunit ribosomal RNA
Source: RNAcentral
AUUGAACGCUGGCGGUAGGCCUAACACAUGCAAGUCGAACGGCAGCACAGUAAGGCCUUGCUCUUUGCUGUGGCGAGUGGCACGCGUGUGAGGUGUCCAUCGGAAUCUACUUUUUCGUGGGGGAUCACGUAGGGACGCUUACUCUAAUACCACAUCCUCCCUACGGCAGAAAGCAGGGGCUCUUCGGCCCUUGCGCUCUGGAAUGAGCCGAUGUGGGAUUAGCUAGUUGGGGGGGUAAAGGCCCACCUAGGCGACGAUCCGUAGCUGGUCUGAGAGGAUGAUCAGCCACACUGGAACUGAGACACGGUCCAGACUCCUACGGGAGGCAGCAGUGGGGAAUAUUGGACAAUGGGCGCAAGCCUGAUGCAGCCAUGCCGCGUGGAUGAAGAAGGCCUUCGGGUUGUAAAGUACUUUUGUUGGGAAAGAAAAGAGGCAGGUUAAUACCCCGCCGCACUGACGGUACCCAAAGAAGAAGCACCGGCUAACUCCGUG